Gorilla gorilla gorilla (western lowland gorilla) is the source of this 3493-nucleotide RNA transcript. It is a transcript of the gene named NADH:ubiquinone oxidoreductase complex assembly factor 6, with no coding region annotated. The transcript is spliced from 11 exons. The record is from RefSeq and is a predicted model, not a curated record. Lineage: Eukaryota; Metazoa; Chordata; Mammalia; Primates; Hominidae.
GGGCACGCAGUGCCGGCGUCAUGGCGGUCUCCGCGCAAGGCUCUGCCUGGGGGCCGUUGCGGCUUGGCAUCCCCGGCAUGUGCUGCCGCCGGCCGCCUCUGGGUCUGUACGCGCGCGUGCGGCGGCUGCCCGGGCCGGAGGUGUCUGGGCGGAGCGUGGCUGCGGCCAGCGGACCGGGCGCCUGGGGCACUGACCACUACUGCCUGGAGCUGCUGCGGAAACGGGAUUAUGAAGGUUAUUUAUGCUCCCUGCUGCUCCCUGCAGAAUCCCGAAGCUCUGUUUUUGCACUGAGGGCCUUUAAUGUGGAACUGGCUCAGGUUAAAGACUCAGUCUCUGAGAAAACAAUUGGACUGAUGCGAAUGCAGUUUUGGAAAAAAACUGUGGAAGAUAUAUACUGUGACAAUCCACCACAUCAGCCUGUGGCCAUUGAACUAUGGAAGGCUGUUAAAAGACAUAAUCUGACUAAAAGAUGGCUUAUGAAAAUCAUCGAUGAAAGAGAAAAAAAUCUGGAUGACAAAGCAUAUCGUAAUAUCAAGGAACUGGAAAAUUAUGCUGAAAACACACAGAGCUCUCUUCUUUACUUAACACUAGAAAUAUUGGGUAUAAAGGAUCUUCAUGCAGAUCAUGCUGCAAGUCAUAUUGGAAAAGCACAAGGCAUUGUCACUUGCUUGAGAGCAACACCAUAUCAUGGGAGCAGAAGAAAGGUGUUCCUUCCCAUGGAUAUUUGUAUGCUGCAUGGUGUUUCACAAGAGGACUUUCUACGGAGGAACCAAGAUAAAAAUGUGAGAGAUGUAAUAUAUGACAUUGCCAGUCAGGCACACUUGCACCUAAAGCAUGAAAUUAAGGAUGCAGACACUCAGGGCGUGUGUCUUGCACAGCCAGCCAGCCUGGGAAAAUGAAGCCAACUGGGAGAGAGAUUUGAAGGACUCUGGUUCUAGGCAUGCCCACUUCUCCAGGACCUUUGUGAUUACAUUGGGUCACCUAGACUAGCCCCUGCCUGCUUUGCUGAUAAGGAAACUGAAAUUCAGAUUGGUAAAGUGAAAAUGACUUAUCCAAGAUCAUGCAGUCCUUGAAACUUUCUCCAGUUGACUCAGCCACACUGGUUGGAGCUCUGUUGCACAUACUCAGAGGAACGCACACUUCUCCAUUCAAACGACCGCAUCAGGAAGUUAGAAGCAUAACUUUGACUCAGUCGAGGCUUUUCUAGCCACGUAUUUCACAUACGCGAGCUGUCAGACCUCGGAUGAGGGUCUUUACGCAGCUUCAAGAUGCCGCAGAUGGUGAUUUGUUCUUCAGCCAUGAUCACUGGGGCCUGGAUCAUGCUUUUUACGAGUGACUGUACUCGCCACUUUUUUGUUUUGUUUUGUUUGAGAUAGGAUCUUGCUCUGUCAUCCAGGCUGGAGUGCAGUGGUGCGAUCAUGGCUCACUGCAGCCUCAACCCCCUGGGCUCAAGCGAUCCUCCCACCUCAGCCCCCCAAGUAGCUGGGACUACAGGUGAAUGCCAACACAACCAGCUAAUUUUUCUUUUUUUUAGAGACGGGGUCUUGCUGUGUUGCUCAGGCUAGUCUUGAAUUUCUGCACUCAAGUGAUCCUCCUGCCUCGGCCUUCCAAAGUGCUGGAAUUACAGGUGUGAGCCACUGUGCCAAGCCUAACCACAUUGAAGGCUGAGUUUAACCAUAUUUUGAAGUAAAAAGUGCAUGUAUUUAAGAGAACUGAAAGUGACUCUGUGUGACUGGAUUAUUGUGUUGACACUAUUAGUUAGAAGCCUUGGUUGAAAUCAACAGAAAACCCAACUUACGCUGACUUAAACAAUAAAAAGAAUUCAUGGUCUCACCUAAAAAGUCAGGAGGCAGUUCAGGCUCUAGAUAAGGCUUGAUUAAGGAUCUUGUUUCUUUUCCUCUCUUUGUUCUGGCUUCCACUGUAUGAACUGCAUCCUAGGGCAGUCUUCCUUCAAAGUCCCAAAGCAGAUGCCAACAGUCCUGGGAUCAUAUGUUUCCUUGUUCAUGACAGCAAGAGAGAGAACCUCUCUGCCCUCAGAUGUCAGAUAAAUUCCUGGGCUUCAUACUAAUGGGACUGGUGGCUGUAUCCAGGAGCACGGGAUACCCUGCUGAGCAUAGAUCAGCUCAUCACUGGAGUUGCGGGGGAAUUAAUCCCAUUCAGAUUAUACUUGCCUUGCUGAGAGUGGGUUUGAAUGGUUAUGCAAAGGAAAAUUAGGGUGUUGUUUUAGAGAGAGUAAAUGGAUGCAAGGAGGCAAAAAAUACCAACACUCUCUAUUGAGUGUACUGGUAGAAAAACUGUGAGGUCCCUGGAAAGGUGGGCUGAGGAGUGAGAGUGGAUUUUAAAGAGUCUGAACUUGAAAUCUUUGAAAGACUUUAGUCAGCGAUUAUCACCCAACAUCCACAGAAAGCUCUCCAGGGACAUUUAAUAUCCAAUAAUCUUUUUACAAAUAAAGCUUUGUGUGUGUGUGGUUGUACAAGUUAAAUGUCUGGAUAGUGAGUAGAUGAAUGCCUGUUAUUUUGGGCAUUGCACUUUUGUUAUGUUUGGAAUAUUUCACAAUUAAAAAGUGAACGCAAUGCACAGGCUUGACAGAAAUUACCAGUGUUCACCAGUGUAUCAUUUUUUCUCCUUCCUGGGUGCAGGAAGACUGCACUUCUUAGCUUGCCUUUUAGUUAGACAGGCCGUAUGACUAGGCUGUGGACAAAAAUGACAUAUGUCUCUUCCAGGCCAAGGCAGCAAAAAUUCCUAUGCAAACUUUCAGUUCUCUCUUCUCCUUCAGAGUGAUAGUGGAGGCCAGAUAUUAAGAUGGUGGAGUUGUAAGAACAAAGCAGCCUGGAUCACUGAGUCACUGCAUGGAUGUCAGCUGCUUUGGAGAGCCAGUAGAUGUUCUGGUUAUUGAUUUCCAUGUGUUCAACCUCCCCAAAAAACUUAGUAGUUUCAAGCAACAAUUUACUAUUAUCUCUUAUGAUUCUGUGUCGGCUGACUGGGCUAAGCUGGGCAGUUCUUGCUUGGGUCUUUCAUCUGAUUGCCGUCAGGUGUUGACUGGAGCUGCAGUCACCCUAACAACUCAUCUGAUCUGGAUCUCCAAAGUGGCUCACUUGUCUGGCUGCAAUUAAUGCUGGCUAUUGACUGAGUGUAAGGAAGCUGUCAACUGGAGCACCUAUGUGACUUUAGAGUCUCACUGCAUGGGUUCUGGGUUCCCACCAGAUGCAUCCCAAGAGUGAGUAUUCCAGGAGACCAAGAUGGGAUUGAAAAAGCUUCUUACAAGCUACCCCUGGAUGUCCUGGAACAUCAUUGCUGCCAUAUUCUGUUGGUCAAGGCAAGUCACUAAGGCCAGUUCAGGUUCAAAGGGAGGGGCAUUAGACUCCUAACGUUGGUGCAAUGAGUAGCAUAUGCCACAGAGUGGGAAAGUAUUAAUAAUGGUUAUCUUUUAUUAUCUACUGCACCUAACUUACAGCUGACUUUGGGUGAGAAAUACAUUUUAUGUGUUAAGCCA